Molecule: long non-coding RNA, 362 nt
Organism: Magnolia sinica
Lineage: Eukaryota; Viridiplantae; Streptophyta; Magnoliopsida; Magnoliales; Magnoliaceae
Exons: 3
Source: RefSeq, a predicted model, not a curated record
UCUGUGUUUGAAAUAGCUAUGCCUUUCAAGGCCUUUUAUUUUCUCUCUAGGGAAGCAUGUGCAAUCCUGAAUGCUUUCAUAUUUCAUUGAUUAUUUUGGUGGUUUCUUGAUGUAAUUCUUCUGUUCAAUAUAUUUUCUUCAUGUGUUUUUGUUCAUUAAGCUGUUCUGGAAACUGUAGCUAAGAGUCAAGUCCAAGAAAAAUGAUACCAAAGAGGAGAAGUCAUUUCAAUUUCAUGAUGUUUUCAAUUUGGAUAAUGAGAACCGCGAAGAGGAAACCCCAACUUUAAUAGAUCAGAAGGAUAAUGUUUUUAUUAUAUCAAAUCGCAAAUCAAAAUAUCCCAUUCUACAAUUAGACUUAAGGU